This 601-nucleotide long non-coding RNA is filed under the name Rattus norvegicus (Norway rat). RNAcentral's name for it is "long non-coding RNA NONRATT031600". The record is from RNAcentral. Lineage: Eukaryota; Metazoa; Chordata; Mammalia; Rodentia; Muridae.
GGCUCACUCACGUGGCUCUGGUUGCGGUCAGGAGAGACAGACCCCUUUCCCUCCGAUGUCUUAUUCACUUCUGCUUCCUCAUUUCAACAGGAAUCCCUUCAUUUUCUGGUUAUUCUAAAGCAUUUCUAGUACCAAGAGUUUCACAGAACACAGCCUCUUUCUCCUCAUGCACCAAGGUCACCCUCAUAGAUCAGGUCACCUCUUCAAAGGAGCAACAGUCACCCCACCAGCUACUCAACCUCUCGGGAUUUACCUAUGCAUCGGUUCGCUGUUUGACCCUCGUGCGUGGGGUCUGGCUUGGCCAGGUUGGAAGAGAGAGGUCAAAGGCACAGGUAGGAGAACCAGAUCUUGAACACACAUUCUCCAUGGUUCUUUCCAGAGCUCAGAGCUCAGGUAUCUUGGCCACAGGUCCCUGUGAGCAGUGAUGUUACUGGACACACGGGUGCUGGGAUUCAGGAACCCUAUGUUGCCAAGGGAGGGGAUUUCUAGGAAUUGCUAGGGUACGGUUAUUUUUCAGCUGUGAGGGUAGGGAGGAGUUGUGAAGGGUAUUUCCCGUGGGCCAGCCCUUCAUUCCCCUUUUCCCUCGGGUCUAUAAAUGGUU